This is a non-coding RNA of Zonotrichia albicollis (white-throated sparrow), 16899 nucleotides long. The record is from RefSeq and is a predicted model, not a curated record. NCBI's taxonomy places the organism in Eukaryota, Metazoa, Chordata, Aves, Passeriformes, Passerellidae.
UUUAGAUAUUCAAUUUGCAGUGGUACCAGGGUGCUUAAAAGCAGUAAUUAGAAGUACAGGUUUGCUGUUAAGACAUAAAGAGAAAAGCUCAAAGAUUCUGAGUAAUAAUUCUAUGACUCAAAGCAAUGCCAGUGUGUGGUCCCAGCUCCCAUAGCUGUGCAGCAUUUCAGCAAGAAUGGUGUAAUGCCACCUCCCUGGGAGUGUUCAAGGCCAGUUUGGGUGGGAUGUCGAGCAACCUGGUCUAGUGGAAGGUGUCCCCGCACAGCAGUGGAGUUGGAAUUAAAUAGUCUUUAAGAUCCCUUCCAACCCAAACCAUUCUAUGAUUCUUGAACAACUCCAACCACUGUGUUGUAAAUUGGAUUUAAAGGUACUAGGCUUUCCUCAUCAGCAUGGAGGAGGAAAAGCACCCUGAAAUAUUUGUUGAUACUACUCUUUAUCUUACAAGCAGAGCCAUCCUUGGCUUGACCCAAAGAAACUUUCAGUGCUUCAGAAAUGAGUUGUCACUGCUUUUGCAUUGCUCUUAAGUGGAAUGCUUUCUGUGCCUGGCCUUGUAAGUGUCAAAAACCUCCAGCCUAAAGUCUACAGCCACAUAACUCUCUGUUCCCCUUUUUAUUUCAGUCUUUUCUCAGAACCUCAGAGUACAGAAAUAUGGUUCAAUUUCCCCAAGCAGUUCUAGUAAUCAAAUAGGUAAACUGUAGAAAAAUCUGUCUAUGAAGUUAAAUAUCUUACAGAAAAUUCGAGUGGAUUUUUGAAUAGCAUAGUUUUAAAGCUAAUCAGUAGCUAGAAAUGCACGUCAUCUUUGUAACUUCACAUGAGAACCACUUCUAAAAGAACACUCCUGUUUCUCCUUUUUCUUAAUUCCUGGGGUAAUUGCAACAGCUUGUAUUUUGUGUGGUGAAAUUAGUGUAUUAGGCACUGAAUGGAAAGAAACUAAACGAUACUUGUGCUUUGUUUAUCUUGUUUAUUUGCUGACUUAUUUCAGACCUUGGUCAAUUCCUUCUGCCCUUUACAGAAAUAACACUCCUUUACAUCGUGGGGCUGAGCCACCAGCCCCUUGGAACAGCCCACAUUUUAGGCAGUAGCAACCUCUCCCAUCCCUCUUUUAAAAGGCCAGUGAGCUGAACUUGUUAAACUCUUUUUGGGUUUGAGUCUCAUGACAUGUGAAAGGGAGUGGCAAAGAAAGAAGGCCUGAACAUGGUAAAGGGAAAAACUACAGUGCACUACAUAGCCAACAUAUGUAGAAGAUGGCUAAAGAUGGUACGGAAUGGCUGAAGAAAGAAAAAAAACAAACCAACAGAAAACUGUUUUAAGACCCUUUCAGCAAAGCACUCGUGUGCCUACUUUACCAUGCUGGGUUUUGUGGCAGUGCUUUACAGAGUUUGUCAGCCAGACCCUUUAAAAAAUCUUGGCUUCCACCCUACUCACUGACAUUGCCAGCUAAGCCAAAGAUUUCACUGUCUUUCCCUCCUUCACCUGCACCCCCUAGCAAAGUUCCUCCGCUCUCUUCCUUUACUUCUCGCAUGAUGCUUCUUAGCUGUCCACUACCUUCCAGCCCUUUACCCUUCUGAUCUGACCAUAUCUCUCAGAUACUUUUAAAAUAUUUUAGAAAUUACUACAUUAGAAUGCCUCCAGUUUUGAAGCCUCUCUUCUUACAUUUCCCUCAACUGUACAUUGGCAGAUCAAAGGAGAAAUUGUUGCCAGUUUAAAACAUCUCUGCUGCAUCUAAGCGCAGCUCCUGAUAAGCACAGUCUGUCCUAUCAUUUUUCUGUUCCUUCCCUGUGGCUGCUGUCACUACAAGACCAUUUUUUAGUUUUCUUUCUCAUCUUGUGCCAAAACCAGGAUCCAGCUAUUAAGGUACAAUGAAGUGCAUUAGAAGGACUCAGAAGUUUAUCUUUACAGCAGGCCAACAAGCACCAGCCUUUCAAAAAGCAGGGCCAACAAAAAGGUGCCUCCUUCUCCUCCUAAGGCAACUGAGAAUUUUAAAUUGUACUAAGAUGUGAAUUACAUUCAUAUGAAUGGCAUGAGUAAUGAAGAGAAGUGUUCUCAGAGUAAUAAUUGUGAUUACCUGAACAAACAAAAUAGGCACCUUGUAGGACAUGUAACCCUAGUCCUCUUUAUCUGCACCACCACUUUCUCCCUAACACCAUACAUUGCCUCCCAUCUAGACUUAAUUCAACACCUCAAUUUGUGUUUGAUCAGGGACAGAUCAAAGAAGGUUCCACCAGACAUCUUGACAGAUUUUAGAAAGACCUAGUUUUUUAUUUAAAAACAGGAACUUAAAAGGUCUGGUGGCUUGUCCUCAGGGAUAGUAGUUUUGCUUAGUUUAAAACACGAAAUUCUCUGCUUGCUGUAACCUGCCAGGCCAGGAUUCUGAUAUCCUCAGAAAUGGUUUACAUACACACUGGCCUUUACUGUGCUAAACAAGUAACGCUGGAACGCUUUCAGUGCUAGUAUGUCAACACAGUGUUUUUGUCUCAUGUUCAGGAUGAAAACUGAAAAAAAAAGAAUUACCCUCACCCCCCAGUGAAAUAUGUAGAAAUGUUCUCCUGUGGAAAGUUUCAUUUUGAAGUCUUCCAAUUCAAACUAGUUCAUUUUGGCUUUGUUUCACAUGGAGAUGUAUCCUUACAGGUGGUUUUGCUGCUUUUCAGUCCUUGGGAUCUAUAUCCACUCAACACUGUCACAGUUCUCCUCAUGCUCCACUCCAGCCAGAAAAGAGAAUGCAGUGAGGGGGACAAAACCCACCUUGACAAGAACCACCAUUCCAAACUUGUUUCUUGUAUGUUCCAACGAGACAUGUUUGAAUUAAGAUGAUAGAGUCAUUGAUCAAAUAGUUCAUUCUUCUAGGAAAAAAAAAGUCAAUUUCCUCACAGUUGCAUUUUCCUAUAAAAAUUUGUUUUGGUGCAAGUUUUAAAGCAGCUGUAAAAUGUUAUAUAUUUGACAAUUAUCCUCUUAUUUAUGGACUUUAAUGUAGACUGAAGAAAUCCAGAUUCAUCUCUUCAAAGUUUUGGUUAGGAAAGAAUGCAUUCAGAUGUUUACUGAGAAGUACUACUAUAAAUUGGAUUAAUCUCUAUCAUAUUUUUCCUAGAUGGAAAUGUCACUUCCAACUUGAUUCUCCCCUCUAGUCAGUGAGUACUGCCUGCAGUACAAGCAAAAGAGCUCUGUUGUGAAAGAACAAAAUCAGCUUAGCCACAAAUUGUCAGCUCAGAAUAAAAAUAUAUUCCCAGAAGAAGGGCUGAGGUUGAAGGACACCAUUCAGAAGAUGCAAGAAGCCAAAUUACUCAAAAAUAGACCAAAUAGCAGGGAAAUGCUGAGUGAAAUUGAAGCAGAAGUCCUCAAUACUGCGGCUUUCACUACAUAAAACUUGCAUUUUCAUUUUCUGUCAUAAGUCAUUAGAAAUGUCAGUUCCUGUUCAGAGAACCUCACUGCUGACUGUACCUCAGUUGGAGGUAUUGCUUUUCUCCUUUGGUUUGUCUUUGCCUGUGCCUUAAGACAGCUGCACUAAAUUUCCAGUGACACCUGCAGUUAAGAUCCCUGCAGUGAGAAUUCAGAAACUCUUCCCAUUUGUCUGUCUGAAGAGCUGUGGUAGCCAAGUGUUUCCUCUGAAGUCCACGUGCAUCCUUCUCCCCCACAGCCUUUGUACCUGUGCUCUGACACCGUGUUUGAAGUCAGCAAGUGAGCAGUACACACUGCAGAGCCUCCUUUCUGGACUGAGGCAUUGCUGUUGCCGGCACAUCUCCCCUUCCCCCUGAUGAAACCUGGAGUAACAAGGAGGAGUCACAAAUUCAAGCUCUGUCCAGCUUCCACUUUGGAAUCUAAUCUAAUUACACUAGAUUUGUCUGUAUCCCCUCUGCAGAUUUAACUAGACACAGUGCACAAUUCACUUCCCACUAGAGCUUGCUGUGUAGUUUCUUGGGUGAUUGAGAUACAGUUCAGUAAGAAGACAGUGGAUAGCCUUUGUGUAUCUGAAGAAAAAUAAACAGCACCUGAACAGACUGAGCACAACCUUGAGUCUUUAGUGUAUGAAAAAAGAAAAGCCCUUACAUCUGCUCCUGAAACCUGAUCCCUCAUGAAAUAUGCACCCACACACUCUGGAUCACACCUUAAGAUCAGAGGAGAAAAACAUCAAAACCCCAGUCAGACCUCUGCAGCUGAUGGCUCACAACUUGGGGCUCCUGUGGCAGGAGGCUGCCCAGGAAGUUCUGACACCCCAGGAAAUUCAAGAAUGGCCUGAGAGAGAGAGAGCCCUUCUGCUUUGUACUGGUAACACAGUGCAGGCUAAGCAGAGAAGCCCAGAGCCCACAUCUCAUGGGAACAAAAGCAGAAAGUGCCCCUAACCUAUGUGCCUCUCCUCUGUGGGUGUCAAGCACAUCACCACAUCAGACAAAGAGCACAUUUGCACACCCAUUUCAUCAGUACUCUGCCAAUUCUGGGUCCAGCUCCACCGUCUGCCCACAUCUUCUUGUUCAUGCUGUGAACCAGCAGACUGACUGCUCAGCACAUCUCACCAGCCCACUGAGAUAACUGUUUCUGCUGUUAUUUCAGUAGUCAUGCACAUAAAACACCAUUUCUCUCUUAAAGCCUAGGAAAUCAGAACACCACUACCCAGCAAAAAAACCUCCAAACCAACCAAAAACAAAAUAACAAACCCAACCAAAUCAGAGUCAGUCAGGCUUUCUAUCUCUUUCUCUCUGGUGAAUCAUAUGAAACUAGAAUCACAAGAACAAACAAUAUAUUCCUCUCCCAAACAAGAAGCUUCUGAAGUCUUUGAGGCUGGGACAUGCAGCUCUGUGAGUCAAUUCAUGUCAGCUGUGCCCAUCCACACCCCCCAGGAGGGCAGCUGCCCUCCCUGGUCUGUGAUAUAUCCCCAGCACAUAGCGCUCUCCAACACUUGGUAGCCAUUUGUUGGCUUGCUGAUGCUAAUGCUCUGUGAACUCUUAUCAGAUGUAUUUAUUACCACAGUUGUUAAUGUUUUGGGGAGGCACUGGCUGGCUUGAGUUCAAAGAACCACAAGAAUAGAAAAAAAGCCCUGAAGGUGCUUAUGUCAGGAGUCUGACUAAUGCACCUUACUGAAGAGAAGGUUGAAAAUGCAACGUGUUUCAUAGGUCAAGAGGUCUGUGACCAGAAGGAAGGAACCAGCCCUUUUCUGAAGAGGAUGUCAUUUAAGUCUCCAAACAGAAAUCUCUGCCCUACAGCACUGCAGAAAGCCUGGUCAGCCCUGGCUAAAAACUGAGGCUAAACUUGGUUCUGUGAGUCACCACUUGACUGACUUCACACUGCAGGCACGACGGAGCAAGGCAGUGAUGCUGAUAGACACCAGGGCAGAGAAGAGGGGAGAAGUAACGAGAAGCAAACAUAAAGUGCCAGUUUGUCCUCUUCCAUGGCUAGAAGGAGUCAGCCAUAGGAUUCCCACGCUAAUGGUCCAAGUGAGGCAGCUCUGAGUACCGGCGGGGCAGGAGGGGCUGUGGAGACAGCGGCUGUUCCAGCAGCAGCAGCUGCAGGGAGCGCUCCAGCCGUGCCUGGGGCUGCUCAUCCCUGGCUGCGCACGGACGGACGGACGGACACGCUCGGCUGCGGGCACCGGCACCGGGACCUCUUGCUGGGAGCAGGGCGGAGCCUUCUGGCCAGAGCUGCUCCGCCUCUGGCCCGGAGAACAGGGAUGCCUCUCCAGCUCGCAAGCUUCAAGCAAUAGCUUCAUCAGCUUUCCUAUGGCGAAGGCACAUCCUGGCCAAACGAUCCUUUGCUGCCUGAUCUGUAUUUUGCAAAGAACACGUCUGGGAGGGUAAAACUGUGUGGCUGAUAACGAGCACUGUGGUAAGCUGCAGCAGCUGCAUCAGGUCCUUGCAAUUCCAGAGCAUCAUAUUUCCAGACCUGGGAGAAAGGCAUUGUAAGAGAUGUUAUCCAGAGUCCCAUGUGAUUUAGAGGCACAUACACCAUUUUUUAAAACUGACUUACUGAGAAGUGAUGGGCUGGGCAGGGCCUGUAGAGAAGUCAGAUGGGCAUUUUUGAAAACUGUACCCCUUAUUUUAAAAGAAUGGAAAACAUGAGGCAAUCACGGCUGAUUCAGCAUCCGACAGCCUCAGCCAAGUCAUAUUUUACCUCUUCCCUUCCCUUCCCUCCCUGCACAAAACUUCCAGGAAAACCUGCAAAGAAAAGGCAUAUGUGGGUGGGAGGAGACCUGCUUUUAAUUUCUGUACCUCCUUUGCUGCCAGGAUUGCUCCCUGCUGUGCACAGGGAGGCUGCCAGGCAGGAGCAGGACAGGGGAAGUGUUGCUUGCAGAAUGCAUCAGGAGGAGCAGCGUGAGCCUGGAAGUGGGAAAAUACAGUCACCAGCUAAAGGCUGAACUUCAAAUUGACAGGGGCAAAACUCAGAAUUCAACAUCCCUGUCCUGUGUGUCUUUGCUCACAAUGUGUAAACAUCAGCUCUCUGAUGCAAGGGAAGGGAAUCAGCCCUGCUCCUAACUAAGUCAAUGCACAGGUUAUCUCCAGCUGGUCCUUGGUUGAGGCACAAGCCUUCAUGGCUGGGAAGGAACUGAGGUUCACAUAAACAACUAACAGAAGUUAUACACAAGGGAUUUAUUACAUGAAUAAUUUGACAUACUCCAUGGUAGUCAGAUACAAGUGCAUUUAAUUAAUGUUUUGUGGACAUCAUAACAGUCGGAAUAUUUCAGCUGAACAGUCAGUAUUUGGCUGAAUUCAAGCCAGUGCAAUUCAUGACAUAACCAGAAACAGGGAGUUACAGGUCUACAAUGAGGUUAGACUAGAUAGCAACAGCAUAUUUAUUGUCACAUCAAAGCAUUACAAAGUAUGAAAGCCCAAUAUUUCAACUAUCUCUAAAAUGGUAUUUGUACAAAGCUGUUGUAGAUACUUAAAUGUAAGGAUUUGUCGCAUCAGUAAUGGACCAUGACUUUAUUUUGGGAAGUUAUUUGAAUAUUCAAAACUAUUUGGGGCAACAAGAAGAAAUGUAAACAUCUGACAGUCCUUUGAAGGUCCCUUCUGAGAAAAUACAUUGUGUGCCACAGGAAAAGUGCAUUCUAACUGGUGUGUCUGCUAUGGCCAGUUUGACUCACAUUCACUUAGCACCAGGUAUUUAUCCAUUUCUGCAGUAAAAAGUUAGAAAAUCUUUGUAUUAACUCAGAAAAGAGAAAACUAAGUCAAAAGUUUUUUUUCUUCUUCUUUCUUUAGAGGAACAACAGGUAAAUUAAAAAAAAACCCCACCCAACAUUUAAACAGUUACCUCUUAUGUACAAAGAAACCAGGAGCUAGCAAAGCGCAUAGCCCCUAACAGUCUUUAUUAUUUUUUUCUUCAGGUUCAUGUACCUGAAUAUAUGAGUUUAUUUACAGGUGGACAGGUAUCCACAGAAGUAAUAAUCAGAAUUUUUCUAUUUGGCUAAAAGUUGUAUAAAAAAAGACAAAACACUGUUCAAAUACUUUCCAAAUAUAUAUAUAUAUAUAUAUUAAAAGUAUUCAGUAUUUCCAUCAGUGCCAGAGUUGGAAGCUCUUCCUCGUUGUAAAAAGUUAACUUUGUGAUAGCAAGUGACAGCAAAGGACUGACAGGGUCAGUCAGAGCUUUGAUUUGAGGGACUGCAGCUGGAGCUACCCCAGGCCCACAGGGCAGUUGCAGAUUGCAGGGAAAUGAAUCCACGUGUGUCUGUUGCAGUGACAGGCCACGUCCUGGGAAGGGUGACCUGCUGCUCCAGAGAGCCUCCACUCACACUGGACAAUCCUGUGGAACUCUCUGGGGCAGGUUCCCUUUGAAAACAAUCACCCAAAAACCUCUGAAGUAGUGAAAAUAUUCUUUCUGCAAAUGAACAACUAGCAUGGGUGGGCAGGUAGCUCAAGAAAUGGAAAAACGUAAUCGCCACGCUAAUUCUUGUAAAGAAUAUAAAAUUAAAGGCUUGGCCCCUCAAAUACAAAUACAUACCGCAAAAAUAUUUUUAAUUAACAUAACCUAGAUGAGUGCAAAUCUCUGGAUACAUAAGAAUAUGACUACCUUCAUACUGGUAUCAAAUAUUUAAACAGUUUGCAUAUAAACAAAAUCUUUCUUUGUUGUUGAGUCCAUGCUUGCUUUAGUCUAAAGCAAGGAUAUUCUUAUUACUUCUACUUUUUUGGUCUUUCUUCCUGUAGGAUAAAGCAUAUGAAACACGCUUCAUUGAGUAGACUGGGCUGAUGUACAUUACAGCGACAACCCAAAACUGAAGUAAGAAAUGUUGCAUGCAGUAUCUUUUCCCCACAUUUAAUUACAUCGGCUACAAGAACAAGACAUCCAUUUUCCAUCUUCCCUGGUCCCUUCCAACAGAAGGUGCACUAAACCCAAGCUCUGAUCCUUUGUCCCUAGCACACCCCAGCCCUGAAGUCCCCAGUGAUGAGGAUGAAGGGCUGAGCACUUUGGGCACUGCAUCACUUGGGGCAGGUGCCAGCAGGGAGACCACAACCCCUGUGGAGCCAUCCCUGCCUCGCACGGUGGGGAAGGGAUGGUCAGAAGGAGCCUGGGCUGCAGGGAUGGCUGGAAAGGCUGUCCCAAGGGCAGGAUGGCACUGCAAGCCCAGGGGCAGCGGCCUCUCCUUGGCACAGCUCUCUGAGUGGCUGCAAGCUCCUCCUGAGCCCGGUGCCGGCCCCGCUCGGCCGCCCCAGCGCCCGGGAUGCUGAGCCAGGGUGCCAGAGGCGCUGGGGCUGGAGCAGCUCUGCCAGGGGAGCACUCACUCACACCACACCUCUGCCUGGCCACGCUGCGCCUGGCUGCCCAAACUGGGCCUUGACUUGGCCACGGGCCCCUCUGCUCCUUGGGCUCUCCAGCUCAGCAUUGCUCUGUCCUGCAUCUAAGGAUUUUGGAGAGCAGAAACAAGGCAGGAGACAAAUAUCUGUCAAAGGAGGUGGGACACACCUUCUGCUCCUUAAGUUUGGGGGUUUCUAAGCUAGGGGAAAGGUUGGAGUGAUUCAAGAUACAGUAAGCAGCUGUGUGAAAAUGCAUAGUUUGUAUGUAUACAUUCAUUUACAAAGACCAAAGGAAGGUCCUUUGCUAUGUAGUUUAAUCACAUCUGCUUUUAACAAAAAUGUGAGCUGACAAAGCUACAGGAUGUCAGUUAGACACACAGCCUGGGAGUAAUGGUAGCUGAAUGGCAUUUCCCAAACAGAGAAUUAACUUUUCUUUUUGCUUUUUUGAGAUAAUUUUUCAGUCAUUUUUCAUUUGAAGCCUGUUGUUUCUCUAAUCGCGUGUUUUAGGAUUUCAAGAGAUUCCUAUUCAACUGUGGUCAUCUCAGCAACGACAGACCCUGCUCUGAAGGCUGUUAAGAAGCAAAAACCCCAAAAGACAAACAAACAAACCAACAGAAACCUGGGUUUAGCUAUGGUGUGUGAACUAGAUGAAAACAUGGCUCUUUUAAGCUGCUUAAAUUCUAGUUCAGUAGUGAGUAGUGCUUUUUUGUUGUUUUGUUUUUGGCCCUUUUUGUGCAAUAGCUGAGCUAGUACUAAGAAAAUCCUAUGAGUUUGCUGACUUUCUUUUCAUUUAGUUGACACUUUGGAACCUAGCUGCUUCCUGUGAGGAAUGUCUGUUGUCCUGAGCAUUCCUGAACAUAGAACAGUAAUGUAACAGGCAGGAUGGGCUUAAAUUGAGAAAAUCUUGGUCUAAAUGGUCUAUUUGAAUGGGGUUUUUUUUUCCAUUUGCACUUUUUCUGAAGAAAAACCCCUUUGUCACUUGUGACACUAAAACACAGUGGUCUGCUUCUAAAUGUAAUUUUAACAAAGAUCAGUACUCUCUGCUAAUCAGUGUGUUCUAUCAAUAUUUAAUUCAGCAAUGGAUUGACUUUUCUCAUGAGACUUUAUCUUCAUGUUUGUUUCAUGACCUUGAUUUUUACUUAGCAUUUGACUUAGAUUCUUCCUUGCAAUUUUUAUUGAACCGUAUCUAUGGAACUUGCACAAAAGCAUUUUUGAAGCUAGAAAAAGGUAAGGAUCUCAUAUAACCAGAUUCACAUGGAGGAGAGUAAAAUUAUCUAAGCAUAUUUUGCCAUCUAAAGUCAAGAAACAUUGCCUGUUGCUUAGUGAACUGAUCAUUCACUGGGAAAUGGAAAAGUAGUAAAGGUUUUUUUUCCAUACAAACAGCGAUUAGAAGUGCAAGAGGAUAAGAUUUGCUCAUUCUAAAAUGCAUUGAUCAGAAACAAAUUAUUCAUUACUUGAACUACUUGAGUAACUUGAGAAAAAAACAAACCUUCUAAAUUUUUACAGAAUUACUCUGUACAAAGGUGGUUUACUGUGUUGGUGAAACUCAGGGGCUCAUGCUUAGCACAUCACAAAUUCAUUCUUUAAAGUUUCAGGUGCAAGCAAAUACUUCUCAGUACCUUGACUCAAUUAUUUUUAUCAACUUUUAGGCAUUAAUAUGCAUAUUGCUAAUUUUGCAAAUGUUUCUAAUUUAAGAAAAAAACCUGAAAUGUUUGGAGAGUCCUGACUUGUACUGAGAAUGAUUCCCAAGAUAUCUGAAGUCCACUGGAAGUAUUCUUGGUUCAGCAGGCAGAUUUUUAACUCAUUUGCUGACACAAAGAUUUUAACACUUUUUUUCUUAUGAAAUAACAGCAGAAUUCUCAGAGGAGUUUUGCAGGGCCCAAGUCUGGGUAGCUUUGAUCCAGCACUAAAUCAUUUUCAGUGGCAAUGGACUGCAGAGGCCUUUUGAUGAGUUAUGGCCAAGGUCCUCAGAAUUCUUGAGCUCUCCCCAGCUGCUGUUGCUGCAGGAGACUGGGAGAAUUUGACAAAGGUCUGUAUGGUGGCAUCUUGUUGUGUGUUUUUAAUGUUGUAAGAAUGAGAAAAGCACCUGUUUCUUACAAGAAACAGUUUUUUGCAAUGUCUAAGUCACUGUUAGUGGAAGCCCCUUAUCUAAACGUGCUGUGCCAGCCCAUAGGCUGCCCCAGAGCACAGAAUCCAACCGGACUGUGAAGGAAUAGCAUCUGCAAGUCUUCUUUUCAAAAGCUUCUUUCAAACAUACAUGGAAAUACAGCACCCAGCUGGGCCACAGAGCUGUUAUCUGUGCUGCCUGACAGAACCACCUUGGACUGGGCCUGUCACUGCUCUUGUUCCUCAGCCAAGCACGGACUGAGUUUUCAGACACCCCGUGCUCACUAUAAAAGUUUUAAGCUUGCUUUGCCCCAUAGUUCCAAGAGCUGACCCACACUGUGCAGCCCUCAUUUCUGGGGUGGGAUGGGCAGGUGGCAUCAGCCCACACUUCUCUUCAGCACAGGUACCACUGGUGUUAAGCACAAGACUUGCACAGCACUGGCCGUGUGCUCACCUCGCUCCAGGGACUCCCAGAGCUCCCUGGAAGGACACAACAGCUUUGCAGCACGCACAGACACCUGGAUCAUGCCCAUCCUUUGCAGGAAGAACUGCAGCUUGAUUAAAAAUGGCAAGGUGAUACAUUUGCAGUCCAACGGGAAUCUAUACCCAGGCUAUUGGAGCAGCAGUCAGCUUUUGCUUUUACCUAUGGAUGUAGAAAUGAGCAGAAUGUCUGGAAGCCUCUGAAAAGGAGCUGGAAUCUCUGGGAGGUGGCCAACUAAGAGCUUUUUCAAGGAUGGAUUUUACAUGACUUCCAAGCUGUGCGUGGUCCGUGCACACACACACUCAGCCUGGGAGAGGGAGCCCAGCAAUGAUUCACCCUGAGAAGGAAAUGAGCAUUGCUGGCUCUCUCUCCCCUCUUCACUGCCAUGUGCCUUGUUUUCCCCACUUUUCUUCGUGUGAUUUGGAAUAAAGAGUUUGGACAAAGUAAAAGUCAAAAAGGUCUUUAUUUUUCAGCAUGCUCCAUAAGAUUUAAAAGGAUUCUGUGCUGGGGCAGAGUAGCUGUUCUUUGUUUAAAAUGCUGAAACUGGCAUUUACAAAUUAAGACAAACUAUGUGCAAUAGUGUGAGUGCUGCAAGCUUAACACCAAAACCAGAGGGAAGAUGAGUUCAUUAAUUCACUUAGGAACAAAAGGAUUGUCUUUAGGACACUAGUUCCCAAAACUAGUGGGGAUGGAGUCAGGAAAAACCAAAUGGAAAUACUACUGCCAACCUGGCAGUGGCCCUGCAAGUUGGGAGAGUGGCUGUUUAAAGAGGAAAAUCCAAACUCUCCUAUGGCUUCUGCUGCUGCCUUGUACCAGGAGGAGUUCACUGCCUGCAGGGCCCAGGGGCUUCACAGGCUGCCCACUGCACAGCACGGGGAAAAACAGCUCCUGGCUGCUCAACUUAAACUCAUUUCCAAAUUUCUAUGAGCUCCUGGCAUUUUAAACUUGCCUAUUAAACAGUUGCACACUUCUUUAAACUAGAUUAGGCUAUUUGUUUAAACCUUUAUCAAUUAAACUAAUGCAGGUUUUGCAUAUAAGGAAAUCUACCAUCUAGAACUUUGUGUUCUUCUCAUUCACAUUCCACUUUAAACCAUAAUAUCCAUGAAUGUAUUGAGUUUACCAAAUGAUAAAUAAUUUCAGAAGCUAUCAUAUUUCUCAAUGUAUCAUUAAAAAAUGUCUCUGACCCAAACAAAUUAUUUACUGUAUUUUAGGGAAUUUGCAUUUUUAUAAAAACAUCUUCGUUUCAUGGUUAAUUUCAAGUUAAAACUAGAUUAAUAAAAUGUUUACUGUUCUGUGUAUCAAAAAUACAUGGCCCAAAAAGUGAAAAAAUUAUAUAAAGUGCAAUGCAGAGCAAAUUAAAGCUCCGUAAUUUUACACUGAAUCGAAAGAGGAAAUGCUCAGCUUCUAAAAAUAAUAAUUCAGAAAAAAUGGUUUUAAAAAAGAACUGGAACUUACUUUAUUCUCUCUGAAACAAGAUUUGAUAGGAAACAAAGGAAGAACAAUGUAUGCAGGCAGGUAUUUCACUUUUGUCACUGAAGCAAGAAAAAAGGAUAUGUGGAUAUAAAUACUGCAGUCUUCUGCAAGCAGAAUGUUUUAGAAAUCCCUUACUCAUAAAAACUAGGCAGUUGGGGUUUUAGUUUCCUACAGCUACUUACCCUGUGCUGAAUUUCCCCCCUUCUAUGAUGGAAACACUUUUCUUACAUGAGACAACACAAAUAGCAAGUGACAAGAAAACAUGCUUGCUGUUUUAGAGAGUUAAAAACCCCACAGUGCAACGGGGGCUGAUGGUCCUUUCUCCAGUUCCCUGAUGCCCUUUACCUCUUGCCCAGCAUUCCCAUCACUAUUAAACUGAAGCUGUAAUAAAAAGAGGCUGAAACUGCACUAGCAAAGCAGCUGAGGAUCAUUCCUAGUUGUUACCAUGUCUGGGUGAGAAGCACACCCUGGUUCUCUGUAGCCCAGAGAUUCACAGAGGUCAUGACUUCCCAGCCCCUUGCCUGAGAUUACUGUGAAUCAUUCCAGACUGGUUCCAGGGAGGAACAGGAUCCAGUAAUGUUGUUUUUCAUAUCCCUUAACUCCUCCAAUAUCUGCUUAGCAAAAUCAUGGUGCAGUUAAGAUGCAGACUUAAGAUGCAGCACUGGACAUACAGUUAUUGAUCUAAUUCCUCUCUUUUCCCCCAUAUAUUUAAUUUCAUACCAAAAUCAAUGCCACCAGCCAUAGGUGGAGCUCUCCUGAGUUUAAUGCUGCAGGGGUAUUGUGCAAGUUCAGGUCUUUAAUGAGAGUCCAGACAAGACAUAGUGGGAUAAAGGCAGCACUACCAUGCCUGCCCCAUGACAGAGCAGGGCACAGAGCCAGCAGGCCAUGAGCUAUCUAGCAUUUCACACAGACCUACACUUACAGGACUGGCUCAAGCCAGCAUAACUCAGGAAACUUCUCUCUAGAAAUGUCUCUGCUGAGGGUAGGAAGAGCUUUUUCAACAGCAGCACAAGCUUAUGACACCUUAACCUGCUGUGGAACUACAACCUGACGCAGGAUGCAGAGGUCUCAAUCUAAAACAAUAUCCCCAAAUUCCAUGACUGACCAAGAUGAUGUCUGGCUCUUUGCAAAUGCAGCAGUGGAUGGUGCUGUGUUAGAAAUGCCAAGGGGCAAUGUUCCCUUUACAAAGGUCUACUAAUGAAAUACUAACUUAGGUAGUGUAAGAGUUGGGAAAGAGUUGGGAAAGAGCUGGAAAGAGCCUCCUUUACUGGGGGUCCAACUUGGUUUAGGGCUCAGUGCUGGGUUCCAGCAAAUGUUUGGGCAAAACUUGGUUAAGGUACAGGGCUCUGUGAGAGCCCCCACGGAAGCUGCAGCAGCAUGGCUUUGGAAAGAGGCACACAAGGGACACAACCAUGCCCGAUUCAAAGUCUGACAAUGCUGGCACUCAUUCAGCAACUUUCUGUAACAUAAAAGCUAUUCCACAGUUUGAUUUUAAUUGCUGAAAAAGAGAUUCUUUCUCUUCAAAAGAGUGUUCUGUACUAUGAACGCGUCAUGAAUAUUCGUGGAUAACCAACCUCCCCCAGGCUGGACACAGCAAAGGCAGCACUGGAGCCAACAGCACAGGGAUGUGGGGCUGGUGACUCAUUUCCCAAGGGGCUGGCUAUCCUGGAUCCCAUACUGAGAAACCCCUUCUCCCUGGGGCUGGUGUCAGCAGGACAGAUUACAGGCUGAAUACCACCAGCCUAACAGCUCUGCAAUCUGGCACCAGGUAACACACCCAGAGUGCUGCCACUUUGGUAUUACACAUGUGCAGAGAUACCCACUGUAUCCAUCCCUCUCACAAAGCUGAAUACACAAUUCUCAUGCCCUCAGAAAGGGAGAAUCACAAUUUCACACUCCCAAUCCCAGUGGAAAGUACACAGAUGAAAACCCACAUGCCUUUGUACUACAAGCAUUACCUGUGUGAACAGCCCUGGUCAAUGAAGUUUUUCAUGGGGAUAGCUGAACUCUCCUGAGAAAACCUGUACUGCUGUGAGGGCUCAGCUUGUUACACUGGGAUCUGCAUUCUCUCUUAAUUGUGUAAUAAGACUUUUUACCAGACUUGUAAUGCAGAAAAAAGACCCCAAACCACCAAAAAUCAACCACAGAACUUGUGUAAUUGACUGCUUAAGACUAGUUUCCUCCUACUGGGAUCCAAUUCUGAGCAAUUUUUUCAGGUCCUGUCUGACUGGCUCAAGCCCCUUUGCCUACUGUCUCUGCAUUUGUACUUUGGCCCUUUGUUACAAGUCUGUCAAACAGGGAAAGAACCAAACAGUCUCUGUUCAACAGACCUGAUUAUUUCUGUCUUUCAGUUAAUUCUGGACUCAAAGCACAAGACAAAAACAGUAAGAGAGAUGGGAAGAUGAUCUGUAUUUCAUUAUUUAUCAGCAAAAAAAUCCCCAAACAGGGGUGAGAUAGCCAGAUACACUGUACAUGGCAGCCUGUUUUCCAUCAACCCUGCAGUGAAGAUGGAGAGAAGAAAUAUAUGAGUGGAGCUUUUAGUUUGAUUGUUCAGAUCUUUCUCAUGACUGAACAAUGAAUGCUCAAUGUAAUCUUUUCCUGUAAUCUUCUGCUUGUAUGAACUCUCUACUUAAGCUGGAGCAGAUCAUGUUGCAUGAUCUCAUUCGGACUGUACAGUAUCAUGAAGAACUCAAUUUUAAAAGUUUUUUUCAAAAUGAUACCAUUCAAGCCAAAUACUGGUAAAUUUAGGAAUGUUUUCACCAUCAGAAUACAAAAACCCCCCAAAACUUUGAGGAAAUACAAGAGACAAAUCAAGGGGAAUUUCAGACUAAACUGUCUCUGUAACCAAGGGAAGUAGAUUUUUUUUCUUUCCAUUAUUCAGAAUUUGUGUGGCUUUGUAAAGGUGUUUUAGUUUACUUUUGUCAUAGAAAAUAACAUACCACUAUGUGAUUUACUAAAUCACUAUGUGAUUUACAAUUUCUCCCUCCUCCUUUUGGUUCUUAGGAAUUCCCAAAUCCUAUACAUUAUAAUGUAUAAUAAGCAGUUAUAAAAUUAUACCAACAUUAUAAUUUCAGAGAGGUAUUAAGAUCCCAGUGCUCUAAAAGUUCAUUUUCAGAGAGUGCAUGCUUGCAGUGAUGCACAAACACACAUCACUUGUUUCCCUAAUUUAGCCCUUUGUAAGUAUUGCACCUGGUUAAUAAAGCUACUGUCUAUUUUCUUCUAACACUAAAAAUUACACAUAGGCAACAUCAUAUGUGGCUUAAAAACAUAGUAUUCCAAAGUUUUUAGGUAAACUCAUUUAUUUCCUCGCAUACUCAGAGCUCCUAUGCCUCCAGUUGCCUGGAGGAGUGUUGAGUGUACAGGAAAUACAGAUGGAACAAGAGAAAUUUAUUUAAUGUGACCUGCUUAACAUGUAUUUUUUUAUUCAGUGAGCUCAAGUAGAUUUCUUUGAGCUUGAUAUCAAAUACACACCUUUUACAAACUUAAACAAUGCUUUCACAUGGUGAAAUGUACAGCUGAACUUGUCUCUUUCUCACCUUCCCUUCUGCAAUGCAAAAAACCAUAAUAAAAAAAUUCCGUAAAUUUGUCUGGUCUUCUAAAUACGAGAUAAAUUGCAUAAAUCCAGGAAAAGGCAGAUUGUCCCACAAAGUGCAUAUUUCACACAAAGCUACAGGAGUAUCUGCUCUGGCCAAGGCCUGAUUUCAGAAGAGCUCAAAAAUGUGUGCCAAACUUUGGGAGCACGAGGAGUCUCCUCAGCAAACUCCCCAGGUGGAGGCAAACACAUCUCGAGUGCUCUGGUGAACCUGAGCCCACAUUUUGUCCUGUAAUACCAGCAGUUCUGUGUCUGUGCAAUUGUACUUUGUAAUUCACACACUAUGUGCUCCCCUUCCCUGAAAGAUUUGUUGGCAUCACUUUAAGAAUUAAUUACUACAGUUAAACACUGAUACUGAAAAUUCUGAUACCAUGUAAAUGCUAUUUACAUUUGUACUUCCUAAUACAGAGGAUGCUGAUUUUUGUUCACUUCAUUAUACACAUUUGGGCAGUUGAAAAACAGAGUGCCUGGACACAGAAAAAAGAAUCUAUAGGAAAAGAUUAUUACAGAUCAUAUAGGAUUUUUCUGUGUAAAAA